Molecule: ribosomal RNA, 491 nt
Filed under: uncultured bacterium
Lineage: Bacteria
Description: partial 16S ribosomal RNA
Rfam family: Bacterial small subunit ribosomal RNA
Source: RNAcentral
AGUGAACGCUGGCGGUAGGCCUAACACAUGCAAGUCGAACGGCAGCACAGUAAGAGCUUGCUCUUACGGGUGGCGAGUGGCGGACGGGUGAGGAAUACAUCGGAAUCUACUUUUUCGUGGGGGAUAACGUAGGGAAACUUACGCUAAUACCGCAUACGACCUACGGGUGAAAGCAGGGGAUCUUCGGACCUUGCGCGAUUGAAUGAGCCGAUUUCGGAUUAGCUAGUUGGCGGGGUAAAGGCCCACCAAGGCGACGAUCCGUAGCUGGUCUGAGAGGAUGAUCAGCCACACUGGAACUGAGACACGGUACAGACUCCUACGGGAGGCAGCAGUGGGGAAUAUUGGACAAUGGGCGCAAGCCUGAUCCAGCCAUACCGCGUGGGUGAAGAAGGCCUUCGGGUUGUAAAGCCCUUUUGUUGGGAAAGAAAAGCAGCAGGUUAAUACCCCGCUGUUCUGACGGUACCCAAAGAAUAAGCACCGGCUAACUCCGU